RNAcentral lists this ribosomal RNA (97 nucleotides) under uncultured bacterium. Its description in RNAcentral is "partial 16S ribosomal RNA". It matches the Rfam family "Bacterial small subunit ribosomal RNA", at positions 1386 to 1482 of the family's 1533-position model. The record is from RNAcentral.
CACACCGCCCGUCANAUCAUGGGAGUUGGUUUUACCCGAAGCCGCUGACUUAACCGCAAGGGGAGAAGCGUCUAAGGUGAGGCUGAUGACUGGGAUG